Xyrichtys novacula (pearly razorfish) is the source of this 581-nucleotide non-coding RNA. Lineage: Eukaryota; Metazoa; Chordata; Actinopteri; Labriformes; Labridae. The record is from the annotation of a GenBank genome assembly.
GCAGGAUCACAGUCCUGCAUCUCCACGAAACUGGUCCUCAGACUGAAGCAAGACGGUCUCUAAAACCUCCUGGUGGGCUUAAGGUAGUACUGAAUCUGGACUUGAUAAAACGCAGUCGACCAUGUCCUGAACUCGUCUGUGUGUGUGUGUGUGUUAGCGUCUCGGUCUGAUUGUAUUUCCAUGAAGAAAUGAUCAUAAAUGUUCUUCCUUGAGCUGCGGCACCCCGCUGUAGUCCGUAAUGGACUGGCCUGAGGUCUCACUACAAACAAGCGUCUGCUGGAAGAGAGUAGGUGAGUUGUGUUUAGUCUCUUUGCUAAAGAAAUGAGUCAAAGUUAAAAAGAUGUUUGGUGUCUAGUACUAUGUCUGUGACCCUAUAUGUCCUGUUGAUGAAGUUAGGUGCUGUUCUGAGCAUUAUUUGUGGCUAUAGAGUGGCGUUUUGGUUGAGGGCGUGUCUCUCUGUAUUUCUAUCCUGCGGUCGUUACUAAAGUUGGUAUAACUAGAGAAGCAAGCGGUCGACAACAUUCAUCUCUGGAGGGGGGGUCUAACUCGGUGUUACGGUGGGUUUGACUCUAAGUCAAUUU